UCAGCGCUCUUGGGCCUCUGAGAAAGAAGCUGCGGGGCACGGGUGCCGCCGACCACCUCCACCCGCCAGUCCUUUGCUGAGCUUGGAGUCAGAGCGGAGGUGACACUGGAGCAGAAAGGAAAUUCGCUUUUGAGUUGGUGUCCUCUGCAGAAUCCAGUGUACUGCCAUAUCCUACAUGUACAUUUGGAUAUGCUGUUCACAGCUCCGUUGAAGCCACUGAGCAGGCCCAACUCUGACACAUGCAUUCCAAGGUGCUGCAACCUGGCCCUGCUCAGUUUGCUCUGAUCCCUGGCUCAUGCAAACCAGUAGGUAUGGCAGCCAAGCCUGGAAUGACCUACACUUCGUCCUGGUUUCUGCACUUGCCAGUGAGCUAUGGUUUGCUCGGCCCUGCCCGUUUCACCCCCUUUCAAAACCAACUCACACACUUGCCGACAGAUGGAGCUACCCUGCCCAGCCUGCCCAACACUCAAGCCUGGACCACAUGCUGGACCUAAUAACCCAUUAAGGGAGUUUCCUAGGUUCUCCCACUUGGGCCACUCCCAGACCCAGAUCUCAUGCAUGCCAACAGGUUUUUGACCCUUAUCCAACAUGGCCUGCCCCAUCCAUCUGAGCCUUUACAUGAGCUGGUGCAACCUGGUCUGUCCACACCCUGUUUAAGGAUGCACAUUUGGGUGCUAUAGCCUGAACCUGCCUCACUUGUUCCCAGCCCCAGUACUGGUAAGUGUUGGUGAGUUCCAUGGUCAUGCCUAGCUCAGCCUAUCACCAUCCCAACUCUCAGGCAAAACCCAGGACUUGUAGUUCCAUAUAGUUGGGCCCACUAUCCCCCACAAAAUCCACCCCGGACCUGAUUCUCUUGCAUGCCGGUUGGUGUCAUGGCCCAGUCUGAUGUGACCCAUCCCCUGAUCCGACACUCACGGUCAGGUACUGGGAUCUAGCCCUGCCACACAGGUUCCCAGCCAUACCUUGCAUGUGUGCUGGCAUGUGGUGGUCAGCCAUGUUCCAUGCUAAUAUGGCCAACCCAGGACUCCCAUGUGAGCUAGUGCAUCAGUCUGACUGAUAAAGCUCUUCAGGUCUCGCCCCUCCAAACCACCAGGUCUAGGUUCUCUCGGUUACCUGCAAGUACAGUGGCCCUGUUGUUGGAUGUCCCUCAGGAUUCAUUCCUUGUCUGUACUCUACCGA
This is a long non-coding RNA of Ochotona princeps (American pika), 1179 nucleotides long. RefSeq lists it as uncharacterized. The record is from RefSeq and is a predicted model, not a curated record. The transcript has 3 exons. Lineage: Eukaryota; Metazoa; Chordata; Mammalia; Lagomorpha; Ochotonidae.